CCUCAAGCUCCAGCACCCAAGAUUUUAUUAGCAAGAGGUGCUUUUUAAAGGUCUAGAUGUGUACCCUCCAUCAGGAGAAAUAGGAACAAAAACCUGGAUUGGAGUCAGAGGUUGUUUUCAAGGUCCAUUCAAAAAGUCACUUCUAUUCAUGCUCAAAAUCCCAGCCAUGUACAUCCUACACAUGGUAAGUACUCAGAUGAUCCUCCUGGGUAAUGACAGGUGCCCAGGAACAUGCAGGACCUUUAAUCAGAGGCCUGUUCCUGGACUGCAAUAAGUUACUGCCCUGUUAGGACAGAACGCGCUAUGUCAUUAUUCACCCCCAUCCAGGUUAGAUUGCAUUAUGAUGACCUGUAAGUUGCAUUAGACCACUGGUCUGACCAUCUGCAAAUGUUUCUUACAGCGUGAUCCUAACCUUCUCUCAAGAAGUAGGAUCGACAUUCUGUCCUCUUGUGAGCUGAGCUGUGCUCCAAGCCCCAAAUCCAUACGUUGAAAUUCUAACCCUGAAGAUCUCAGAAUGGGACUGUAUUUGAAGUCGGGUCUUUAAAUGAAGGUUAAGCAACCUUAAACUGGUAUAACCGGUGUCCUUAUAAGAGGAGAUUAGGACCCAGAUAUGCAUGGAGGGAUGACAGGGAGAAGACAGUUGUCUACAAACCAAGAAGAGAGGUCUCAGAAAGAACCAACCCUGUUCACUCGUAAUCUCCAGAACUGUGAGAACAUUAGUUCUUUUUGUUUAAGUCACCUGUUAUAUGGCACUUAGCAGCCCUGGAAAACUACUAUGCCUCCCCUUAAGCCUGAGCAGAACUUUGUCACCAAUUACCUAAACCAACAGAAUGCAAUUUCCAAAGAUAGCUGGGAAAAAAUAUCAUAGUUUCCCCUGGUUUGCCAUCUCUCCUGGAUACUUGCAGCCAGAAGUUGGCUGCCAUGCUGAGGAAGCCCCAGCUAGCCAACAGGGAGAGAUGGCAUGUACAAGAACCGAGCCAUCAGCCACCAGCCAGGUCCAAUCACCAGACACAUGCAUGAGUGAGGCCACAGGAGAUCCCAGCCCCUUCCCCAGUGUCAUUUAGUUGAGGUCCCUUCUGAAUUCCAAACUCACCAAAUCCAUGAACAUAAAUAAACAGUUGUUGCAUGAUGCUAUGUCUUUAGGUGAUUAGUUAUGCAAUGCAUGGUAACUGGAGCAGUCCUGAAUAGGAAAGAGUACAAUUUUCAACUUGCUAAUG
This 1217-nucleotide long non-coding RNA is filed under the name Marmota monax (woodchuck). Lineage: Eukaryota; Metazoa; Chordata; Mammalia; Rodentia; Sciuridae. The record is from RNAcentral.